RNAcentral lists this ribosomal RNA (465 nucleotides) under uncultured bacterium. RNAcentral describes it as "partial 16S ribosomal RNA". It matches the Rfam family "Bacterial small subunit ribosomal RNA", at positions 28 to 507 of the family's 1533-position model. The record is from RNAcentral.
GACGAACGCUGGCGGCGUGCUUAACACAUGCAAGUCGAACGGAAAGGCCCCUUUGGGGGUACUCGAGUGGCGAACGGGUGAGUAACACGUGAGUAACCUGCCCUUGACUUCGGGAUAACUUCAGGGAACUGGGGCUAAUACCGGAUAGGAAUCCUUGCUGCAUGGUGGGGGUUGGAAAGCUUCGGCGGUUUUGGAUGGACUCGCGGCUUAUCAGCUUGUUGGUGGGGUAGUGGCUUACCAAGGCUUUGACGGGUAGCCGGCCUGAGAGGGCGACCGGCCACAUUGGGACUGAGAUACGGCCCAGACUCCUACGGGAGGCAGCAGUGGGGAAUAUUGCACAAUGGGCGGAAGCCUGAUGCAGCAACGCCGCGUGCGGGAUGACGGCCUUCGGGUUGUAAACCGCUUUCAGCAGGGGCGAAGCUUGUGGUGACGGUACCUGCAGAAGAAGCACCGGCUAACUACGUG